GACGAACGCUGGCGGCGUGCUUAACACAUGCAAGUCGAACGGAAAGGCCCUGCUUUUGUGGGGUGCUCGAGUGGCGAACGGGUGAGUAACACGUGAGUAACCUGCCCUUGACUUUGGGAUAACUUCAGGAAACUGGGGCUAAUACCGGAUAGGAGCUCCUGCUGCAUGGUGGGGGUUGGAAAGUUUCGGCGGUUGGGGAUGGACUCGCGGCUUAUCCGCUUGUUGGUGGGGUAGUGGCUGACCAAGGCUUUGACGGGUAGCCGGCCUGGGAGGGUGACCGGGGACAUGGGGACUGAGAUACGGACCAGACUCGUACGGGAGGCAGCAGUGGGAAGUAUGGCACAAUGGGCGGACGCCUGAUGCAGCAACGCCGCGUGCGUGAAGCCGGCCUUCGGGGUGUAAACCGCUUUGGCCUGUGACGAAGCGUGAUUGACGGUAACGGGUAAAGAAGCACCGGCUAACUACGUG
Molecule: ribosomal RNA, 468 nt
Filed under: uncultured bacterium
Lineage: Bacteria
Description: partial 16S ribosomal RNA
Rfam family: Bacterial small subunit ribosomal RNA
Source: RNAcentral